Molecule: ribosomal RNA, 520 nt
Filed under: uncultured Glomus
Lineage: Eukaryota; Fungi; Glomeromycota; Glomeromycetes; Glomerales; Glomeraceae
Description: SSU rRNA
Rfam family: Eukaryotic small subunit ribosomal RNA
Source: RNAcentral
AGCAGCCGCGGUAAUUCCAGCUCCAAUAGCGUAUAUUAAAGUUGCUGCAGUUAAAAAGCUCGUAGUUGAAUUUCGGGGUCAAUAUGUUGGUCGUGCCUUGGUACGUACUAGCUUAUUGAUUUCUCCUUCUGACGAACCAUGAUGUCAUUAAUUUGGUGUCAUGGGGAAUCAGGACUGUUACUUUGAAAAAAUUAGAGUGUUUAAAGCAGGCUCGCGCUUGAAUACAUUAGCAUGGAAUAAUGAAAUAGGACAUUUGAUUCUAUUUUGUUGGUUUCUAGGAUCGAUGUAAUGAUUAAUAGGGAUAGUUGGGGGCAUUAGUAUUCAAUUGUCAGAGGUGAAAUUCUUGGAUUUAUUGAAGACUAACUACUGCGAAAGCAUUUGCCAAGGAUGUUUUCAUUAAUCAAAAUCGAAAGUUAGGGGAUCGAAGACGAUCAGAUACCGUCGUAGUCUUAACCAUAAACUAUGCCGACUAGGGAUCGGAUGAUGUUAAUUUUUUAAUGACUCAUUCAGCGCCUUACGG